CCUACGGGCGGCUGCAGUGGGGAAUAUUGGACAAUGGGCGAAAGCCUGAUCCAGCCAUGCCGCGUGUGUGAAGAAGGCCUUCGGGUUGUAAAGCACUUUCAGUGGGGAAGAAAGCCUUGGGGCUAAUACCCUCGAGGAAGGACAUCACCCACAGAAGAAGCACCGGCUAACUCCGUGCCAGCAGCCGCGGUAAUACGGAGGGUGCGAGCGUUAAUCGGAAUUACUGGGCGUAAAGCGCGCGUAGGCGGUCUGAUAAGCCGGUUGUGAAAGCCCCGGGCUCAACCUGGGAACGGCAUCCGGAACUGUCAGGCUAGAGUGCAGGAGAGGAAGGUAGAAUUCCCGGUGUAGCGGUGAAAUGCGUAGAGAUCGGGAGGAAUACCAGUGGCGAAGGCGGCCUUCUGGACUGACACUGACGCUGAGGUGCGAAAGCGUGGGUAGCAAACAGGAUUAGAUACCCCGGUGUC
Molecule: ribosomal RNA, 464 nt
Filed under: Vreelandella stevensii
Lineage: Bacteria; Pseudomonadati; Pseudomonadota; Gammaproteobacteria; Oceanospirillales; Halomonadaceae
Description: partial 16S ribosomal RNA
Rfam family: Bacterial small subunit ribosomal RNA
Source: RNAcentral